GGAGGUAGUGACAAUAAAUCACAAUGCGGAACUUUUAGUUUUGCAAUUGGAUUGAGAACAAUGUACAAAUGUUAUCGAUAAACAAUUGGAGGGCAAGUCUGGUGCCAGCAGCCGCGGUAAUUCCAGCUCCAAUAGCGUAUAUUAACGUUGUUGCAGUUAAAAAGCUCGUAGUUGAAAUGUGGGAUGAAGUAUAUAAUGAAUUUCUAAUUCAAUUGUAUAUUGAUUCCCCUCUCCAAUUUAUUAUUAUGGGUAUUAAUUUAUUUGUAAUAAGAAUUGGUCAUUUACUGUGAGAAAAUUAGAGUGUUCAAAGCAGGCAUUUGCUCGAAUAGAUUAGCAUGGAAUAAUACUAAAAGGCUUUUAUGGUCGAUUUAAUUGGUUUGUUCAUAAAAGCAAGAUUAAAAGGAACAGUUGGGGGUAUUCAUAUUCAAUAGUUAGAGGUGAAAUUCUCGGAUUUAUGGAAGAUGAACAAGUGCGAAAGCAA
This 481-nucleotide ribosomal RNA is filed under the name Blastocystis sp. RNAcentral describes it as "SSU rRNA". It matches the Rfam family "Eukaryotic small subunit ribosomal RNA", at positions 460 to 954 of the family's 1831-position model. Lineage: Eukaryota; Bigyra; Opalinata; Blastocystidae. The record is from RNAcentral.